CAUGCGUUCAUACACGUAUAUUGCCGAAAUUUUGAGUUGAGGAAGUUUUGUGAUGCUAAUUGUUGUCAUUCUUCUGCAACCAUGGAAGUAACUAUUAUGAAGAGAAAUUGGAACAAAACUUCUUUUAUAGUUAUACUGUUCCUGCUUUCUGUGAAUAUAAGGCUGACAAAUUAAUUUAAGGCCAGCCCAGGAACACUUUUGACACUGGAUAUCUAUUUUGCUCAUCAAAGUCUUCUUAGUCCUUGAUGAUGGAGAUGAGCAGGGAAUCGAUGCUGGGGGUAAUCUUACGACUCAAAUAAAGUAGAUGAAAGCAUAGAAGAAACAAUAGUGGAAAAAACACUAAAGCUUCAAGGAGUAAACAUUUGAUGAAAUACUUCCCUAACUAAAGUGCAGACAUGACAUUUGCAGUUAUCAUCAAACUGGGGGAGGAGAGAUUGAAAGAAAGAACUGGAAUUGAGACGUUUUUAAGUUAGUGAUGAUUGAGGAGCCCACCGCCAGCCAUGUCACAACCAGGAAUAGCCUGCAUCAACAGAAUUUCCUGAUCCCAUUAAUCAACUUCAGCGAGAAAAUGAAGUUAAAAAAAGAAGCUGAAAUCAGUCAGGCAGACUAACCAACACUAUGUUCAAAAAACACAUGACACGUAUUACUUACCAUGAGUCCAUGAUACACAUAUUACGAAAAAUUAUUUACCCCAGACUCUACAUGACUACAUCCAUCAUUAAGUGCUCAACUUUGAUCACAACCAUCUGUAUCUUUUCCCAUUAAAUGUCUGUGCCAAGAUCUACAGAUGCAAUAGCAAUCGCAGGCAUCUAAUACAGAUUGCACGGCUGAACUUCAUAGUGCCACAAUGUACCAAUGUUGAAGUACAAACAACAAUUUGUUGUUGUUAUAAAGACAACUUUAAUGAUGAUAGCUACAAGCACAUACAAGCUUUAAACAUUUGGGAAUAGAACUCAAAGAAUGAAUCAGCAUGUUAAUAGGAGGGCAGAAAGCAAAACAAGGCUAUUAUGAUCCAAUAUCGGAGAUCUGUUUUAGAGAGAAAAUAAGAUAACCAGACCAUAUAUAUUUAGAAAUGACUUGGCCUAUCCAUCCUCAUCGAGCACAAACUUAAUAAAAAGAUAACAAAAAAUGAUUCACUCUACAUGGCACCAAAACCAAUAGAUAUGAAAUCGUGCCNNNNNNNNNNNNNNNNNNNNNNNNNNNNNNNNNNNNGAUGCCACAAAGACUUUAUUCAGCAUUGCAUAUAAAUUUAAUCAGGACAAGUUCCCUGUUCCUGCUUUUUCAAUGGUGCAACGUACACCUAACGAUGGGGAGAACAGUAGAUCCAUGAAGGUGUUCACCGGUCAGGUGUCCUCACUAAUGAGUUAACAUGAUCCAAUAGCAACAAACAUGCCAAAGUCCAUCUAAUUAUAUGUCAGCCGUCAAACCAUGAUCCAAUGUCCAUAUGGAUCUUUUUAUAUACAGAUCUGUUUGAGUUGCAAGAAAAAAAAAACUCUUAAACGUGGUAAUCCUUGUGAACCCCAUUUUAUAUUCAGUCAAAAAAAAACACUCCAUUCAGUCCAUCGUGCCUGGUGGCCGGUGGCCAAGUCUUGGGCUAAUGGCCCAUUGAGCCCGCCCCGGAACAAAGAAAGCCUGGCGGCCUGGUGGUCCUGGGCUGCUGCAGGCCCAUUACCAGCCUUAGAAGCAUAUAGACAAACAGGUGGUGUGUGUUGAAUGCUAGAGAGAUUCAGCAUACAAACUUUGAUACCUGAAUCCAAUGUUGAUAAGAAUCGGAGUUUGGUUUGGGGGCCGUCUGGGUCUCGAAACUAUUGCGGUCCAAGACGGUGGUUGGUCACUUAGUUGCCGAGAGAGACAUAAUAUGUGUUUUAUUUCGCAUAGGGCUGUAAAGGCCUAGAUAACUACCAUGUCAUCUAUCUCAGAUAGGACGACUACCGUGUCGUGUUUUGCAUUCAGUGCAAUCCUUUCUAUUCUCGCAAGGCCAGACACUAUCUUUCUCCGAGAUGGAUGAUGUGGUAACUGUCUAAAGCUGUUCAACCCUCAGCGGGUGCUGAGAACCUACGAGUAAAUAAAGGAGGCUAAGAGUAGGUGCUUUCAUGAUUAGCCUACAUUCACUCCGUACCUAAAGUUGCUACCGGGGCUUG
RNAcentral lists this long non-coding RNA (2141 nucleotides) under Phoenix dactylifera (date palm). RNAcentral describes it as "long non-coding RNA (PDAC_LNC005648)". Lineage: Eukaryota; Viridiplantae; Streptophyta; Magnoliopsida; Arecales; Arecaceae. The record is from RNAcentral.